RNAcentral lists this unclassified non-coding RNA (373 nucleotides) under soil metagenome. RNAcentral describes it as "partial contains 5.8S ribosomal RNA, internal transcribed spacer 2, and large subunit ribosomal RNA". The stretch from base 1 to 121 matches the Rfam family "5.8S ribosomal RNA", at positions 35 to 154 of the family's 154-position model. The record is from RNAcentral.
GAUGAAGAACGUAGCAAAAUGCGAUAAGUAAUGCGAAUUGCAGAAUUCCAGUGAGUCAUCGAAUCUUUGAACGCACAUUGCGCCCUUUGGUAUUCCGAAGGGCAUGCCUGUUCGAGCGUCAUUAUCACCCCUCAAGCCCUCGGCUUGGUGUUGGACGGUUUGGUGGAGGCCCCCUCGGGGGCUCCUGCCCCUCCCAAAGACAAUGACGGCGGCCUCGUUGGACCCCCGGUACACUGAGUUCUUCACGGGACACGUAUCGGACACAUGGGUUUACGGGACACGGUCUGCCUCCCCUCAGGGAGAAUCUUUCUAAGGUUGACCUCGGAUCAGGUAGGGAUACCCGCUGAACUUAAGCAUAUCAAUAAGCGGAGGA